UUCGUCUUUUUGGGGAAUUCAACUAAGUUUAAUCAAAAAAUUCUAAAAGUUAGAGUUAAACAACAAAUAAUAAGUAAUCGCAAUUAAAUAAUUAAAGCGUAAGGGAGAAAUUGAAUUUGGGCCUUUCUUGGGCCAAAUUCGCUACUUUUUUUGGGGUUUAAACAAAAUCCGUUUUUGGUAUACAGCUCAUGUAUAUCAGUGUAUAUCGGCAUGUAUAUCAGCUCUUUUCAUGUAUUUCUUGCUUCCGAAUAACUAUAUUUCACCUUAGCCAUGUAUUUCACCAUUUUGGCAUGUAUAUCAAUGUAUACUGUUGUAUACAUCAUGUAUACAGCCCAUUUCCGGCUUUGCGAGACUGUUAUUUCGCUUCUGAGACCUGUACACCAGCUUCCUUUUCACUGCAAAAAUGAGGACGACUCAAAAGACUCAAAGAUAUGCAAGGGUUGAGUCCGAAUAGACUCGAGUUGAUGUCAUCUUCUUUGGAGCAGGAAUGGGACGAACCAGCUUGAGC
This 508-nucleotide long non-coding RNA is filed under the name Solanum tuberosum (potato). RNAcentral's name for it is "long non-coding RNA (STUB_LNC007387)". The record is from RNAcentral. Lineage: Eukaryota; Viridiplantae; Streptophyta; Magnoliopsida; Solanales; Solanaceae.